GGGCGGGGUGGGGAGGGGCCGGGCGACCGGGCUCCCACCCCGCUGCAGGCCCCGCCCACCAGCCCGGGUCCACCCGCGAGGCGCGGGGCACAGGCUUGGCAGAUGCACACGAGGAAGAGGAAGGGAUCCUCGCAAGCUUUGAAAGGCGCCGUCAAGUCAAAUAAAUAAAUGCCCUACAACACCAACCCAGGACUGAGAUCUGCAUGCUGGAAUGACGGUGGUGGUGGUGGCUUUCAGUAUUCCCCAGGUUUUGUCCGGAGCACCGGCACGCCCUCUCUUGAAGUCCGCUCUCCGCACAGGUGAGUUAAAAGCACUUCAGCAGCAAAUCCAGUUUGAGGGUCUUCUUUACCCUUCUCCCCAGGGAUAAACAACACAAAACCAAGUCAUCUUUACGCAAAUAACUAGUUUCUUUCAGAGACUACUAAGAAAGCGUUAAUUUCCUCUUUUUAACUUGAUUAGUGGUUAGACGGGAAGAUCCGGAGCUGUCCAGUGUCUUGGGUAAUGCACGGCAUCGCCUGAUGUCUGACGCUAGAACACCACGUAAAGUCAAGCAGAGGGAAGUGAAUGCGCCCUAGGCCCCUGCAGGCCACCAAGAAGAGCUAGAGGGAGUUGGUGCAAUCCUAGAGAUGCCGGCAGGUGCACCAAUCUGUGGCACACGUACGCUCUCCAAUGGAAGACAACUCAAGACCACACCAAGUUUGUAUUAAAAAAGUACUGUUGUGUUACUUUUUACCAACCUCCAAUCAUUAUACAAAAUGUUAAAAAAUACACAAACACACACACACACUCACAGCCAUAGAGGUUAUCGCAAAAGAUCAACCCAGAAUCUUUCAGAAUAUGACAGAUGCACUGAGAAGGCAGAUAAAUUGAUUCAAUAUACAAAAGGCCUCUUUCCUAUGGAAUUUCAUUAGAUUAAAUAAGGUGUUCCCUCCUCACAGCCUCAUCCUUAUGAGCAAUCAUAUAAAUAAUCUAUUUAAAGUCCUUGAACUAUAACUUGUAUAAUUUUUAGUUUUCCCCCUUUGAAGGGGCCUAAGAGAAAGGUUUGAGAAACCAGCUCUUGAGGGGGGCAGGGGUGAGGGGUAAGAGGUCCUGUGCCUUUCAUUCAUCCUGGGAGCUUCUCAGGAUUGCAGCAUUUCCACCUGAGUGUUCAUUCUUGUACAUUUUCUCAUCUUUCUCCUGGGUUCCUAGGAUCUUGGAGAUUACCUAGUCCAAUCCUUUUACUUCAGAAACAAAAAACCUGAGGCUCAGAAAGGCUAAGUCAAAUGCCUAGGGUCACACAGGGAAACUGUGGGAGUUGGAUCCCUGAGUCCCAGUCCUUAAACUGGUUGCUACAUGACAUUCUAGAACCUCUCCCCACCAACUCCCUUUUUAAAGACAGGGUCUGGUUCUGUCACCCAGGCUGAAGUGCAGUGACAUGAUCUUGGCUCACUGCAACCUCCGCUUCCUGGGCUCAAGCCAUUCUCCCACCUCAGCCUCCCAAGUAGCUGGGACAACAGGCACAUGCCACUACGCCCAGUUAAUUUUUCUAAUUUUGUUUUGUAGAGACAGAUUUGCCAUGUUGCCCAGGCUGGUCUCGAAUUACUGGCCUCAAGCGAUACGCCUGUUUAGGCAUCCCAAAGUGCUGGGGUUACCGGCAGGAGCAAUUGCUCCGGGCCAGACUUCCCUUCCCCCGCCCACACCCCCCCAACCCGGCCUAGAUCCACAGGCACUGUAAUCACAGCUGACACACUCGACUCGGAAUCAGCAUAGAGAGCACUCUGAAAAUUGUCAAAUAGGGUCCCUGAAACUUGUAUACCAUACUUCUCCUGAAGAUCUUGAAGCAUCUUUGUGUUUGCUUUUUUUUUUUUUAACUUAAAAUAUGGCAUUCAGGUUUUAUCCCUCUCCCCGACGCCAUGUUUCCUUUCUGUAUUAGUCACACACGUGAUCCUAAAGUCUGUCUUCCCCACUUUAACUGGGGAGGGCUGGACAAGGUGGAAUUCCAAUUGCAGGAGACAGGAUGUGACAUGGGUGAGGUGCCCAAGGCUCACCGACUGAAACUUCGAUGGCUCUUCCCUGUUUCCUUGUGCAGGGCCCCCCUUCUCUCCACUGCUCACCUGGCUCUCCUCCUCCCUUCCUGCCUGCUUUGCAGCUCUUGCUACUAUUUUCCUUUUCUUUCCCUGCUCCCACCCUGGCCCAAUUUAUUUCACAGAAAUAUCACAGGGCCAGCCAGGCACAGCGGCUCACCCCUGUAAUCCCAGCACUUUACGAGGCUGAGGAGGGCAGAUCACUUGAGGUCAGGAGUUCGAGACUAGCCUGGCCAACAUGGUGAAACAUUUCUACUAAAAGUACAAAAAAUGAGCCAGGUAUGGUGGUGUGUGCUUGUAAUCCCAGCUACUCUGGAGGCUGAGGUGGGAGAAUCGCUUGAACCUGGAAGGUGGAGGUUGCAGUGAGCGAAGAUCGCACCACUGCACUCUAGCCUAGGUGACAGAGUGAAAC
RNAcentral lists this long non-coding RNA (2475 nucleotides) under Homo sapiens (human). Its description in RNAcentral is "HSALNT0403853". The record is from RNAcentral. Lineage: Eukaryota; Metazoa; Chordata; Mammalia; Primates; Hominidae.